This 253-nucleotide ribosomal RNA is filed under the name uncultured bacterium. RNAcentral describes it as "partial 16S ribosomal RNA". It matches the Rfam family "Bacterial small subunit ribosomal RNA", at positions 524 to 776 of the family's 1533-position model. The record is from RNAcentral.
GACGAACCGUACAAACGUUAUUCGGAAUCACUGGGCUUAAAGGGUGCGUAGGCGGUGCAGAAAGUAGGGUGUGAAAUCCCUCGGCUCAACCGAGGAACUGCGCUCUAAACUACUGUGCUAGAGGGAGAUAGAGGUGAGCGGAACUUAGGGUGGAGCGGUGAAAUGCGUUGAUAUCCUAAGGAACACCGGUGGCGAAAGCGGCUCACUGGAUCUCUUCUGACGCUGAGGCACGAAAGCGUGGGGAGCGAUCCGG